This 253-nucleotide ribosomal RNA is filed under the name uncultured bacterium. RNAcentral's name for it is "partial 16S ribosomal RNA". It matches the Rfam family "Bacterial small subunit ribosomal RNA", at positions 524 to 776 of the family's 1533-position model. The record is from RNAcentral.
UACGGAGGGGGCUAGCGUUGUUCGGAAUUACUGGGCGUAAAGGGUGCGCAGGCGGACUGGUAAGUCAGAGGUGAAAUCUCGUCGCUUAACGACGAAACUGCCUUUGAUACUAUCAGUCUUGAGUCCGGUAGAGAUCUGUGGAAUUCCGAGUGUAGCAGUGAAAUGUGUAGAUAUUCGGAAGAACACCAGUGGCGAAGGCAGCAGAUUGGGCCGGUACUGACGCUCAGGCACGAAAGCAUGGGGAUCAAACAGG